UCUUUAUUUCCACGAUGCCUCUCAGCUUGCAACGGUGGAAAACUUGAUCUGGGUAAAACACGAGGAAGUUGUAAUCCAGACUGCACCAGCAUUCAUCACAACACAAAGGACUGAGUGCAGGCUGCCCAUUUACACAACUGGGGAACCAGAGGAAAUUUACUAUAAUGCUCUAAAGUACAACAAUGGUGCUUUACCAAGAAUUUUAACUCACAGCCCUUGGGUCCAGAGUUCAG
Megalops cyprinoides (Indo-Pacific tarpon) is the source of this 233-nucleotide long non-coding RNA. RefSeq lists it as uncharacterized. The record is from RefSeq and is a predicted model, not a curated record. The transcript is spliced from 3 exons. NCBI's taxonomy places the organism in Eukaryota, Metazoa, Chordata, Actinopteri, Elopiformes, Megalopidae.